AUUAAUCGCGACAGAUUUGGCUCCGCCCGCGGACUCGGCGGCUACGACCUUUAUUUGUCGGAAAAGGCGGGCUCUUACGGCGCAAGACUCCUACCCUUCCUCUUCGGCGGCGCUGCGCUGGGCGCCGUGACCAAUCACAGGCCACGUCGUGCCGCCGCAGCCAAUCGGAAAAGCCGGGCAUUAAGACGAGCCUUUGACGGCCCCUCCCUCUGGGCUUGAGGGCGCUUCGUGGGUUUGGUGUUUGUGGCCUCGUUUUCGUCCUGUGUCAGCUCCGGUGGUUACAUCCGAUACCAUCGGGCUCUUGUGAGGCCGAGCGUGAAAAUGCGGAGCGAAGAGGCAAGAGCGAAACCGAGGCGAAUCCAGGGGCACGCGGAUAGGGCCCGGGCGCGAACGCAGAAGCGCCCGGAGGAGGAGGGGGGAGAAGCGCAGCGCCCUGGAGAUGCGGAGACGGAAUCGGGCCCCCACGUCAGCGACCCCCGAGAGGCGGAGCGUCUCCCUGCGAUCCAUUAGGUAGUGGCUUGAUGUGGAGGUAGUGGAGGAGCUGCGGGUGUGCCUGGCCCGAGAUCGGGGACCCGGAGGAGCUCGAAUGACAGUGCGGUGGGGACACGUCGGCUUCACUUCAACGACCCCUUCUCCGGAGACCCUUCGCCCCUCUUGGGGGGUGACGGAAGCCGGCAGGCGAGAGUGAUUGCCAAUUUCCAGGCCAGGUUGCUGCUUUCCCCCUUUUUCUUUGCUUAGUCCAGGUUCCAGCCAAAAAGUCUCUGACACGCAAAUAGAUAAUGUGUGUUUCUUCUGUAACAUCGUAUAUGUUCGUGAAAAAUACCGCCUGUUCAGAAAAAUCGUGCAUCUGAAAGAAGCCAAACUUACGGGGAAAAAAGAAGGAAUUAACAUUCUUGGAGAUGUUGGAAAAACAUUCCUGGGCCUUGCAAGAUUAUUACUCCAUAUAUACAGGGGAGGUAGCAUAUCGCGGAGAGUGGAGAGAUGUCAGUUUCUUGAUUCUCAUUUGGCAAGUCUCAGUUCCUUGAUGGCUCUUGGCUAAAGACUUCAGUUCUUCACCGUGUGAACAUAGGCUGCCUGAGUAUCCCCACAACAUAUCAGCUGGCUUCCACCAGAGGCAGUGAUCUAAGAGAAAUGCCAAGACAACAUGUAGGUGGAGGUGGUUGGAGAAGCUGGAGGUAGACUGUAUAUAGAAGUACCUGUGCUAUUUUGCUUGCGGUGCACACUGACUUGGUGGAAAUUCGUGUUUCAAGUUUUUCAAGGAAUGUAGUCCACAAAUACUUAAAGGCACUUAUUCAAAUAUUUGACAUAGGAUGGAAUGAAGGUACAAAUAUGCUACAGCAGCUUUAAAGCAAUUUGUCCUUUUCCUCAAAAGCUAGAUAUUUAUCCACUAUGGAGUGAAAUUGAAGGGUGUUUUUCUUAACAUUUUGUCAGAUUCAUCUGAUAAAUGUGAACGUUUAUAUAGAAGACCUAAAAGUUGAUGAAAAACUUUUUGUUUAUUUGCCUUAAUGAAAAGAUGUACAAAAUAAGUGUAUUCAGAAACAAAACUAAAACCUUGAUGAGAUGGAUGCUGUUACAGGAGUAAACAUGGUGUCUGCUGAAUGAUACAGGUAGUCUUUGCACCGUUCCAAUAUACAUGAAGAUCAGUUUUUACAGUUAAGUAACACCAAUUCCCCUACAACAUGGUUGAAAUUUCAGUUACUACAAUAAUAACCAAAUUGUUGCAUAAGCUUUUCUGAAGCUCUUUAUUCCACAAAUGAUUAUAUAUAUAAAAGAUGGUCAGUAACCACUUAUAAUCACUUCUUUCAGAAGUCUGUUGGUCAGUGAUCAUUGAACACUGAACAUCUAUCAGUUCACAAAGAGGAAAGCAUGUAGUUGUGUUGCCUGUUUCCCAGUGAUAAACUCCCCAACAUUUUGCAAAAAUGGACCAUCUAAAGAGGGAAUUGGUCAACAAAGAUGACAGGGCAGCAAAGAGACAAAAAUUGGUAACACUGGAAGUGACAUUGGAUGUCAUUAGAAGAUUGGAAAAUGGUGACAGCAGAGUGAAGAAGAGAGCUGGGCUGACAUGAGCCUGUAGUACGAACCAUCUUUUAACAGUUCAGUGAAACAAGAACUUUUAGGUAGAGUUGCUUCAACAUGUUUUAGCUUAAAUUGUACUAGGAACAGAAAGCCAUGUAUGGUCGAAAUGGAGUGUUUACUUCUACUUUCAACUGAGGGCUCUAAUAAAUAAUCCCAAGCACUUUGGCUAGCAUUCAAGCCAAAGUGUUGAGGUUAGUUGCUGCACUGAAGGAAAAUGGUAGCUAAAAGGAGACUGAAAAAAACAUUUUACUGUCCAUACAGGCUGGUUCCAUUGCUUCCAGAGUCGGCAUGAAUUGAUUAACCUUCUGCUGUCUGGCGAAGCUGCAAGCUCAGAUAAGGUUGCUACUGUGAAAUUUGCACCAUUAUUCCAAGAGUCACAGGCAGUCCUUUGCCCAGUAUAAGACUACUGUGUUUAAAAAAAAAAAAAAAAGACUACUGUGUGAAAACUUCACAGGGUUUAGCUGUAAUAUAAAGGGAGUUCUUAGAAGAUAGUUGACCGCGGGAAUGUUGACACUCCUACCAUUCAAGCAGCAGUUCUAGAUACCCAACCGGAAGAAUUUAGUGAAGGUGAACAUCGUAAUAAAGGAGAAAAGCAUUUGUGUGUUGUAAAGGAAGAAUACGUUUCAGAGCAAGUGAUGUGGGUGAAAAAACCACAUUAAAGGAGCUCUCAGAUAUUUCAUGACAUUGAAUGCGUAAGGAAUUAAAUUUUAGAAGCCGAUCCAAACUCAAAAGAGUAUGACUGUUUGCCAAGGUGUAGAGAAGAUGCUUGCUCCAUAUUGUAAAUUACAUGAGAAAGCAAGCACUGUUCAAACUCCUCCUGAGACUUUCCUAUAAAUAAAAUGCUAUAAUUUUCAGUGUUUGUUUUCAGUACUUUAUAUUUAUAACCAACAUCAAGAAAGUUUAUGAUGUUUGGAUAAAUCUUAGGUUAUAGAACAAUCAAGAUUAUUAAUCCUAUAGAUUGACUGCCUUGCAGUUUUAGUUUCGCAGUCCACAGGAGAACUCCCUGCAUUUAAAAGAGCUAGGAACUCUGUAUUUAACCAGAUACAGAUUAAGCCUAGAAACAAAUAUACUUUACCUUUAUCAUUAUCAGUUAUAAUCAACAUUUUUCAUACUGCCUUUGUAUGCUACUAUGUUGAGGCUAUUAAAUUAUAAUUCUGUA
Long non-coding RNA from Enhydra lutris kenyoni (northern sea otter), 3235 nucleotides. RefSeq lists it as uncharacterized. The transcript is spliced from 9 exons. The record is from RefSeq and is a predicted model, not a curated record. NCBI's taxonomy places the organism in Eukaryota, Metazoa, Chordata, Mammalia, Carnivora, Mustelidae.